CAUUUCUAAAAACGGUCUCUGUACUCUUUGGGGAUUUUAGGCACUCAAGUUAUUCUUUUAAAAGAUUUCUGCUGACAUCCACGGGUCCUAUAAUUAACAUAUCAAGCCGCCAAAGGCCGGAAGUGUUCUGUCACCCCUAAAAAUACAGAACCCCUUCCUGAUCUUCCUCCAGUCUUGUUUUAGGAACCAUCAGACCACAUCCCACUCCUUCCACUCCGUUCUCUCUUGACAGAAUACAUCCACACCUCAGAUGUGAACGUUCAAGCCUUUUUCUUUUAUAAUUUUCCAAGUAAUGAACUCUACCCUCUAGGUUGGGGCCUGUGACAAGACAGACUUUAUCUGCCUUUUGUCCUGAACAGUCUCUCCCUGGCGCAUGCAGUCCCACACCCGCUGUUCCCACGCCUCCCCAAUCUUCAGGCCACCUCAUGUCCCAGCAGAUGUGUCAUCGGCAAGGAGACAUAUUUCACAGCCUCAAAUAUUCUCCAGUGGAUCAAUGCCCAGGUUGGACUUUUGUCAGGAAUGAUUUAUCGAAGAGAUACAUUUCCAUCAGAAUCUUCCUGAAGCAAUCAUCUCGGGGACGUAUGCUUAUUGGAUCUCAUUAUAAGUCCACAGCUUUGCUGCCAAGAUAUUAAGUAGUACCACACCUUUGAAAGCCACUUAUGGCUGUUCAUAAUGCAGCAGAGGUGGCUCAUUUCCCAGACCAGGGAACGCUAGCUUAAGCCUAAAGCUGGUGGUGCUAUGUACGUAUAAGAGGAGGUCGGUGUACACACCUCAGAGAGCGAGCUUAACAAAUGCCAUAGAGGAAUCUGCAGCAAGAGUCCAGAAUGGGGUUCCCACAUUCGUUCUGAAGAUGUCAGCAAGAGAGAGACUCAGAUUUAAGAUGCACCCGUGCGUGCAUGCACCGGCACAUAUCACAGAGUAAGAUCCAGGACCAUUCCAGUUGUGGUGAACGAUUGCAUAGAAAACUGUUAUGCGAUGAUAACUUGCAGCAAGGAGUCUGACCAUCUGAAGGUGUUGGGGAAGUCACCCGGAAGAGGGGAGGAAAGAAGCGGAGCCUCAGUAGAGGUCCAGCCAAUCAAAAGACCUGGGGCCUGGUGGCUCUUUCUGCCGCUUUGCAAUCAGGAAGCACCGAAAAGAUGAAAGGUCAUGUUCACCAAAACAGGAAGAAGUAAGAAGUUGGCUGCUUCACUUAGGAAACUGGUAUCCAUUCCGGAGAUAUAACUUUGCCUUUCAUGAACUGGUGGCAUAGGACUCGGGGUGAUAUGGAUCUGUUAAGAGGUAUUUAGAAGUGUGAAGGUUCAUGUAUGGUUGGCCCAGGAUAUGGCACCGUUAGGAGUAAAACCCUAACUAAGACAAGAAGAUACACUCAUAGGCUUGAUUGGGUUACGUCAGAAGAGAAGGGAAUCUUAAGCUUGACUUCAGUUUCCUCACUAGAGAUGGGUACCUCGGGGUGAGUCGGGACAGAUGAGUAGGAGUCCAUCAUCACUCCAGCCUUGGACAUGACAGGAGCGCCACACCCAGCUGCAGCGGUGUCCCCAGAAGAGGACACUACAGGAAACACAUGAUACAAACAGUGGCUCUGGUGGCCACUGAUACCUUCAGGUUACCUAAAUUGUAUGGUCAUUUCUAAAAUCAAAUUUUCUCCAGAAUACCUUUGAGACUGGCCAUAUUAUUGGCCUGUGACUUUGCUUAGUGACACCCAGACUCUAAGGGAAAUAUUAGACCCAAACUCAGAGGAAAAAAAUUCUCUCCUUGGGAUAUCCAUCUAUAAGGUCUUACAUCGGGGCUGGAGUGGGCAUAUUUGUGUUCCUUGGUGCUCAGUAAGGCUGUAACAUCCUAUUGACACCUUAGUGACCAGGAUGGAAGUCCCCGUGAUGAUGGCACUUUAAGAAAAGGAAAUCCCCAGACAGCUCCUUCAAAGGCGUUGAGGUUAAUGCUUCUAUUUCUUGAGACUCCUG
RNAcentral lists this long non-coding RNA (1958 nucleotides) under Mus musculus (house mouse). RNAcentral's name for it is "predicted gene, 34354". Lineage: Eukaryota; Metazoa; Chordata; Mammalia; Rodentia; Muridae. The record is from RNAcentral.